RNAcentral lists this long non-coding RNA (744 nucleotides) under Equus caballus (horse). Its description in RNAcentral is "lncRNA (ENSECAG00000032791.2)". The record is from RNAcentral. Lineage: Eukaryota; Metazoa; Chordata; Mammalia; Perissodactyla; Equidae.
GAAGCAUACUUCUCCUCUGUCUAGUCCGCACUCCCUCUGGCCUGCUGCACUGUCUCUAAAAGAUGACAAAUAAACAUCUGGAAAUGGAGAAUCACAAGAUGUCUUAAAACCUCUGUUCAAGCUUUCAUCUAUCAAACCCUUACUGAGCCCUGAUGUGGUUUAAGUGUCCAUGCAUGGGUCUGGAACUGCUUGCCUCAGCCCCUGGAGGAUCAGAGUUCUCAUGCGCUCUUCAGGGUAUUGACAGAGGGCCCAAUACGUUGGGCUGAUACACUGUCCUGCCUGCCUCUGACAGCUCAGAUUUAGAAAUUACCUCGGUCGUGUGGAAGAUGGUGAUCAGAGUGACAAUGCUCCAGUAUAACCUCCAGGUCCAGCUUAAAACUACAGAACAUUACAGAUGGAAGAACCUUUAUAAUUAAUAACCCCCUUAACAUGUACCAGGGAGCAUUCGGAAAGAGGCUGAUUCUCAAUAGGCACUGAAAGGAUUAGUAGAGAGGGCCAUUCUGCAAAACACCUGACCGCCACUCUUCAAAUGUGUCAAGGUCCUGGAAGACAAGAUGCCACCAAGAGACGGUCAUAGAUAGGAGGAGACAAAGGAGACAUGACAUCUAAAUGCAAUCUGUGUGAUCCUGUUUGGAUCUUCGAGCAGAAAAGGGGAAUUUGUGGAAAAACUAGGUAAAGUCUGUAAGUCUAUAGAUUAGUUAACGGUAUUGUAUUAAUGUCAAUGUAUUUGUUUUGAUAUCCUGG